GUGCUCACUUCGGCAGCACAUAUACUAAAAUUGGAACGAUACAGAGAAGAUUAGCAUGGCCCCUGUGCAAAGAAAAUAAUAGGAGGUCAGGCAAAUGAUAUAAACUU
Small nuclear RNA from Lutra lutra (Eurasian river otter), 107 nucleotides. The record is from RefSeq and is a predicted model, not a curated record. NCBI's taxonomy places the organism in Eukaryota, Metazoa, Chordata, Mammalia, Carnivora, Mustelidae.